CAUCAGAAUCCACUAUCCCACCUGCAUACGUAUAUUUGCUCCCACAAAGUGACCGUUCUUGUGGAUGUGCGCUUCCUCAAAAAUCUGUGAUUUGGAUCUCAUAGAAGAAAACAGCUGUCAUUAAGCUUUCUCAUUAAUACCCACCUUAUAUUCUGUCCUAGAAACAGAGGGGGUUUAUCUUAAACAGUGUGAACAUGUUCCAAGACUAUACUGUUAGUGUUGAAAUAGAUGUAGUUAACUUGUUAAAGCAGUCAAACUGCAAUCUUGGAUCUCCUUUUCAGCUCUAUCUAACUUAUGGUAGAUAUGGGAUUCCUUUUUCUCAGCGCAUCUCUAUCUGAACUUGUUGAUUAUGUUCAGAUGUGAUGAAAAGAACUCUCGUGCUUGCAGGUAGUCUUCAAGCGUCGCGUUACCGGUGUCCUCUUUGUCCUUGAAGAGUACAACCCAACAAAAAUGGGAAUACUGUUGGGUUAAGCUUCAAUUGCUUGUGAAGCCAAGGAUUACAAUUCGAGCAAAGCUGAACAUUCUUAUUGAGGUAUCUCAACUUAAAAAGUCACCAACAUGUACCAUGCAUCACAUUUGAAAUAUAUGGAUACUCAACAUGUUUGUAUCAUUUUGCUUUUAUGACUUCCUACUUUGACUCAGGGAAACCAUAAUUAAUCAAGAUAAAGAUUCAAGCAUGUGUGUAACACAGUAUCCUGAACAAUAUUUGCACAGAAGCAGACUAGACUUGAUAAUUUCUGGAUUCUGAAUCAUGAGAUUGCAAACAGUUCCAAUUUAAGAAAACUACUCGUUUAAGGCAUUCAUUUCAUGUAAGUACGAGUUUGGAACGCUAUUAAAAACAGCUAAUUAGAAUUCAAGGAAGCCAAAAGGGUUCUUCUGUAAGAUCUUUGAAGAGAGAACUACAUUUGCAUAUUUCCAGUCAGAGUACACUACUCCCUGUACAUGUUUACUGCUUUUGCUGCUCCACCACUAAAAAUCGUGUGGUGAUUCAGUAUAGAAAUCAAAAAGAGUUUUACCAAACUCAGUAAUGCUACUGCUAUCUUUCUACCGUUCAGUUCUUCCCAACUUCUCUGACUGUACCCCUCCGCUGUAACACCCUAAUUCAGUCACGUCUAACUAAUGUCUCGGUUAUCCUAACCUAAAGUAACAUUCUGGCCAUCCUUUUUACAAAAUGCUACAGCUUGAGCCAAGCAAUGCCAAAGCCAGAACCACAGUUACCUUAAUUCUCCUCCAUUACCAAAAUGCACAAACCCAGAAAUGAAAAAAAAAAAA
Long non-coding RNA from Coffea eugenioides, 1272 nucleotides. RefSeq lists it as uncharacterized. The transcript is spliced from 3 exons. The record is from RefSeq and is a predicted model, not a curated record. Lineage: Eukaryota; Viridiplantae; Streptophyta; Magnoliopsida; Gentianales; Rubiaceae.